GGCGCUGUCGGUCAGCGUGCCAGAGCCUGCGGGCACUGCUGGAAUAGAGGGAGCAGCUUUCCUUCCGCUCUGCUGCUUGGGUGUGACUGAGGGCUGAGCUGGAAAGCUGCUGGGUGGCUGGCUUCCUUUUCUAGGUGGACCCAGCGAAGCAGGUGGAUUGCCUGAGGAGUCCUGCAUUGCUCUGGCUGGCACCAAGUGUGGCUGGAUACCUCAGAAUUCCCAGAGCUGCUCAGCUCUAAGCCCUGUCUAUGCAUCUACAGCACCAGGAACGUCUCCAGGGAGCGGAGGUUACUAGAUUGGAGGAUGUGAGUUACAUUAAAAGGCCAGUCCCUGGGGGUUUAGGAGUGAUAGCAGAAUAAAUACUUAUAACUUGCUUUCAUGUUACAUGGCAUGGGACUUGUUCUUCCUUGCAGAUGACCUCUCCAGUGCUGCUCUGUGAUAGCUCCUAAAGCCUUGAUUUGACACUAACCUCUGGUGUGCUGUGGGCCAGCAGAUCUGCACAGCAGCAGGCCCACCAGUCUUCCUGCAGAGAGUUAAAGGAUUUUUGGAGAAGCUGAGCGAUUAAAAAACCUGCCACUCUCUUCUCUGGCAGUUCCCUGCGUUCAAAGUGUCCCUCCCUCAUCUCUGGCAUAGCUGGGCAGCAGGCUGGGGAGGCAAGAAGCACUGGUUUUAUUGUCGUUCAGAUGCUCGGGGCUGGUGAUGUUAGGUGCUGUAAGUGUAGAUUUUUUGAGAGGAGAGUUGUAGAGGAGGGAGAAGCAUCGCUAUGAAGUGAACUGGAGGUGUAGUACUUUGACAUCUUGGCACACAGGGCAGGCUGAGGAGAAAGGAGUAAGUUUAACCGAAAGAAAAUCCUCUUAAUCUGGGUGAUGUCAGUUUGUCAGUUUGGUAGCUAUGCAGCUGCAAGCCUGCUGCUGCCUGCUUUGCAAGGGGCAGACCAUUAAUUACAAGGCAUGCAGAGUGCAGCACACUUAGGGCUCUGUGGUGCUGACAAGCUGAUACCGCCCAGAAUAACUGCAGAGAGCAUGGUCAUGUCCAACACGAGGUACAUUUUAAGAACUGAAAAAACCCUGUUACCCACUGUGUCACUCUUGAAGACAACGUGGCGCACACACAUGCUGAAACCUAAACCUCCCUUGCUUUCUGCUCCCCAGUAGCUUCAUACACGUAUUCAGCUUCUCCUUAGUGUGAGCCCCAAGGCGAGUAUCAGUGCAGCACAGGGGUCGGAAGUGCUUUGGGGUUCCCUGGGCCAGCUGGAUGUGCAGCAGUCCUGUGCCUUUUGACCUGCGAAGCACUGGAGCACUUGGGUAACGUCGCUGGGCAGGGCAGAGGGGUGGAGCAGGCAUACUGUGUAUAUGCAGUGUAUAUGCAGUGUAUAUGCAGUGUAUACUGUGUGUACACAGUGUAUGGAUACCUGGCAAGGCUGAGAACCCAUUUUGGGGUGCGGAGGCAAUAUUGUGGGUCAAAGAAUGUGGGACAGAGUUAGGUAAGAGGAUGUGAGAGCACGCUUGGUAUUUGGCUGCUAAGCAGGAGGCAAGAAAGGAUUUUACUGUUUGUGGCUGGAGGGAUGGAUCAGGUUGAGAAGAAUCUGGUUGGGCUGUGGUGUAAUUGUACAAUAUAUCCAGAAUUUGCAAUUUAUCCCAGACUAGACUGGAAACGUUCUGGUAUUUUUCUGUAGUGCUUACAAGCAUCUGAUAGUGACCGUGCUGGGCACCUAACUCGCUGCCCAGAGCACUGACAAUUUGUCCCCUCUUGUUUGUCUGCCCACACCUGCAGAUUUAAUACUUCUUUCUUUUUUGGAGAAUACAGCCCUUUCCUGUCCUGUCCUGUCUCUUGUGCCAUUCUCAGGGAGACGUGGUGCAAUGAUAGCACUUCCUAGUGAGGGGCUGGUGAAUCACUUUGUUGGUGUUCAUGAAUCUCUUUUUGCUACCAGUUUCUGCACUGGUCUUAAUAUAAUUUCCAAAAGCAAAAGUAAUUUCAGGGCCUUUUCUUUUCGUUAAAGAGACAAUACUGAAAUUACCUCAUUGCAUACUGUACCCAAGCUCCCAGUGCGCUGCAGAAGAGCUCUUCCAAAUCUAUUUGUGUAGCUGAAGGUAUUGCCACCUAUCCAAUUGAUCCAAGUGCAGAGCUUGCUUGCAGCAGGGCAGGGAGAGGGAGCACAUACGUUUGUCUCACAGGCUUUGAUGGGUAGUCCAAUAACUUAGCUUAAAGUUUAAAGCUGUGCUGUGGGUCUGAUAACCUCUUGCACGGGAGCAGAAGUGCUCUGAGCUGUCAUGGCUAGGUGUGCAAAGGCUCAUCUGCUAGUAGAGAUCCUCCAAUAUUUUAUUGCCUGCCUAGGAAAUGUAACUGGUUGUUCACCUCCAUCAGCUUUGCACCUCAAGUGGUGUAAUGAAGGCAGGAAGCAGGAGUAAGUAGGUCCUUCAGAAUUUCCUUGUCCAAGGGAAGAACAGAUGGCAGGCUGUGUGGUUGUAUCAAGUCAAUGUCAAAGGUCUUUAACAUGCAUCCUCUUAUGCAUUGGCACAGAGCUCUUUCCUGGGGAAAAAGGAGUUGCACGUGGUGUGAAUAUGAUCUUGUGAAGGUAAAGGCACUUGUGGUUUAUUCUUGGCAAAGCCUGAGGCUGCUUUAAAGUCAUCUUUAUGACAGCACUAAUAUUCUGGCAACCACAGGGUCAGGGCAUUGUGUGAGAAGCACAGAGGUACCUUUGCAUGUUACCUGGUUCGAUGGGCCAAGUGUCCCUCCGUCACAGAGAUCCAACCCGUUUCUCCAACCAAGCACAGCACGAGGUCUGGCAAGCCCACCGCUGCCCUCAGAGGGUAUUUCCCCAUUGUUUUGUCUUGACUGUUACGCCUUUCCCUUUCCCUGCAAUACAUUGCUUGGUGCCGGCUGGUAUUUGUAACGUGUUCAGCAGAAUUUUAAAAUGAAACUUCUUUGGAGGAGGUCAGCGUGCCGUGUGGGACAUGGCCUGUGUGUGGGCAGCAUCUGACAGAUUCCUGUCACUGUUACCCAACAGCCUUGUCAGAAACGACAGCACCUGCCUGUGGGCUGCACUAGCACAGCGAUACCAGCCAAAAUGGGAAGCGUUAGCAGUGCUGUUUGCCCCAAGUGUUCGUAGUCCCUCCCCGCUAUGAGAGGCACAAUGUAAUUGUCUGGAUGGAUAGUUACAUGUGUUAGGAUAGUGAUACCAGAUACCAUUCAGUUCUGAGCAGUCGGAGUGUAAUGAUUAUAACAGAAAAGCAGCACAGAAGGUUGCUUUAGAGUUUUUUAGUUAUCAGUGACUUUUCUACACACAGGCCCGUAAGGAGGUAACCUAUUGUAAAAGAUGUCUCAUUCCAGAAUUAGUGCCAAAGAUCAGAUCUUCCUGAUCCAUUGCUGGGAAGGGAAGCUCUGUUCUCGCGUUUACCGUGUGCCUACGUGCUGGGGAUUUUUCUGUUUAAUUUCUCUGUGAUGGAUGAAAUCACUUGAAAUCUGUUUUUUAUAUCACAAGGUUAUUUGACUUUUUCUGCCUAUGCUGCAGCCAUUAGUGCAUGUCACGUAUGUUAUUAGCACUCCAUAGCAGUAUGUUGGUUUGUGCCUAGUAGCGAUUCUCAAAAUAGCCAUUGCUUCACCCUCUCUCUAAGUUUGUGUGCGUCCAAGCCACUGAAUUUUCCAUGUGGUCCACUGUCAGCCUCCCAUUGUAAAUUAUCUGCCCUUGUAAUCCACAGCCUAAUUUCUCUUACUCAGUUCAGUGGAACUACUGACCAUUGUGUUUAGCAAAUCAGGUUGGUGUUUUGAAUUUUAAAUGAGAAUUUCCUAGUUGCAUGAUUUGUACUUACUUUGUAAGUUUUGUAAGGCUGUUUGGUUCCCUGCUGCCCUGAUCUCAAAUCUGUGACCUUGGAAAUCAGUGGAUUUGAACGUAACUAUUUUUUCAUUUGCAGUCCCCAGAGGAUUGUAAUUACACUGUUGCCUUGUGACUGUGCUGAAUUAAGAAUCAGAGCCCAGCUGAAAUUCCCAGACCAAAGGAUAUAAUGGCUACUAGUAAACUUGGUGCAUUUUUUAUGCUUUUUUUCUAAACAAUAUUUUUUUGCGUUGCAUAUCGUCAGCAUUUUUGGAGGGAAGAAAAAUUAUUUCUUAGGUACCUAUCAAAAUUUAAGAAAAUGGUGGGUCCUCUUCCCCCUUAUGUGCACACCUUCUCCUUCCAUAUGUUUUAGUGUUCCGAUCAUCUCUUUCCAUUGUAACAGGAAAACAUUUUAUAGACAAGGGAAGGAAAAAUCCAACAAGUUUGCUCUGCCUGUAGGAGCUCUCAGUCUAAGUAUGGCAAAAUCAGCAAAUAUGAAAUGCAGGCCAAUAGUUAAGGACAAGAAGAUAGUGAAGUUACAGAUACUAAAUAAAGACAGGAUGAGAUUGUUCAAAGAGGCAGGAGGAAGGACAGAGGAUACUUGGCAAGAGAGACCUAAUGGUAUGGGUCAGCUUUACUACGAUUGAAUCUGAGUGUUAUCCCAGAUUAUGGAGUUACAGCAUCCAAAGCCCUCCCAGGGAGACAGAUCUUAGCCCAGAGGGCAGCAUGGGAUAAGGCUAAAAGCAUAGAGAAGAAAAGGAGACACACGAACAAAAGGAAUAAGAAGAGUGGAGGGAGUGAGAAAGUGAGCAGGGAGGAAGAAAAGCAAAGGGCUGGGAGCAGCCUGGGGUCAGACUGUGUAAACACAAACUGCGGUCUUGAGCAAAGUCAAAGGGAGUUUUCUCAAAAAUAACAGUGCUGUCAAGCCCAACACAAGAAGUUGAAUUUUACCUGCAAGAAGACUUACGGCAGUUCUGCUCUGUGUUAGGUCUGCAUUUGGAAUUUCAAGUUUUGUUUUGCUUCUGGAGUCCUCAGUCUUGCAUAGUCCCAUUAUGACAGUGGUGGGCAAUGCAGGUUUUAGCGAGAAUGAGUUCCUGUCCUUGGGCAGCUGCACCGCUCAUGUGCAUUUUUAGCAAAGACUGUCUGCAGGGUGCAGGUUAGCUGGUGGAGCUAACAGCAGCAACUUUUUGGAAAGCAGCACUGAACUUGCCACAGGCACAACCCAGCAGCAUUUUCCUGAGCCAGGCACUGGGACUGUGUGUGGAAAGCUCUGUUUGAUGAAAUCUGGGGCAGCUGAAGGGCAGACAGGCUAUUCUAGUGCUUGCCUGUCUGCUGGAAAAGGUGAAGGUGUACCUGUGCAACGUGGGGAAAUACCGGUGCACGCCGAGACUUCCCUAAGAGCUCUGAUUAGAAGAUGCAAAUGUGAAGCUUUAAAAAAUUUAAUUUAUCAACAGAAGGAAAACUAGUAAUGAGCUGAACAACUUUCACGUUUCUAUCUUUCACCUUUCUAGAUACUUUAGCAGCUGAAGAUUUAAAAUUAAUCUAGAUGAUGUUGGGGCAAUCUAACAGCCUCAUUAAUUUGAGGCUGUUAAAGUCUUCUUGAACAAUCUGUGGUACUCUUUGGGAGGAGGAGUGUCUUCAAAUUAGUUUAACCUUCACUUUAUUAUUGUUACUGGUUGAAUUAAUUGCUGUCUUUAUCAGGGAUCACAAACCCUCCACAAAUCUGAUUGUAUUGACUUAUAUGUUUUCAUUUCUUGAAAGGUGAAGAUGUAUAAAAAAAUAAAGGAACUUUGGUGGCAGUUUGUUAGAGUAAGGAAUCAAAACUGUAUUUUCAGCACAUCUUAGUAAUAUACGUGAAUCUGUAGAACAUAUCUGAAAUUUAUAUGUUUGCUCUUGUUCCACUUGUCUUCUCCUCUCUCUUCCCAAUCAUUGUUUCAAAAAUGUCAGAGGAACCACAACUGAGCAUAUCUCCUGUUCCCACCUGUGCUUUGGGAUGCAAAAUAAUGAUGUUAGCACACAGAGACCUUGACUUCCUCUUGGAUGCAUCUGAACGAUUUUACUAGGGAGUCCGCUGUGCCUGUGAUCAGUCUGAAAGCAGCUGAUGGUGGGCAUCACCACAGUAUGGUACUGGGCUGCUGAUCAAUUUUGUGUCUUUCAGGAGACUUGAAAAACGAGAUUCAUCAGGCAUCACUCUCUUAAACCACAGCCUCACCAUGAGAACAUUAGGGCAGCCACGACUGUGCAAAGUAUCUUCACCAGCAAUCUCUUGCUCUCUGACAAAUCUUUUGUCCUUGAAGACCAGAAAGAUUGUUAUUGAGCCUUCCACAAAGCUGAAAUAAUGCUGUGUGUUAAAAAAAUGUUAACAAUUUGAAGAAGUUAUAAAAAUUUAUAAGUUGACUGAAUACUUUGGAAAUUUCUGCAUAUUUUAAUAUAAAUAGGAGAAUGAAUGCUGAUACUCCAAGACAACUUCUACACAAGCAAGUAAAGCAGCAACUAGGAGUGGACCUGGCGAGUUGCAGCUCUAGCAAGGCCCCCUGGACUGCACGCUGUGUGCAGCUGCUGUGCAUUGCCUGUGCUGCCGGGGCACCUCUUCCAGCUUAGUUUUGUCUGAGAGGGAUCUGGUCUGUGAUGCAAAGCAAAGCAUGAUGCUGGCAGCAUGUGGAGCUGACAGCAGUGAAAGCUCAGAGGAGUACAGCACAUGAAGAGGUCACCGGGAGCUGUAGUGCAGGGUUUGAGACCAAAGAUGGAAACCUAUUACAGCUUACCUCUGUGAAAACACAGCAUUACUCCCUUCACACCCUGUGUCUUCUUGUUGUUCAGCAGAAAUACUGGGCAGGAUGAAAAGGGAAGAUAAAUUAUUUCAGCUAAGUGAAUAACUCACACAGAAGACUUUUUCCACACUACCCAACCUUCUCUUCUACUUGCAUCAUGUUGGUGAUGCAAUUGCUGUUCUCUGCUAUUUAUGUACCUUUCAAAAUUUCUAUUACUUUUUUUACUCUGUGGAUUGAUAUGAAACAGUGUUUUGUGAGCUAUCAUUAAUCCUGGUGUUGGCUUAGUGGGGUUUGGGUGCUCUUACUGUGUUGUUGGUGCUUUCUGUUUGGAUGAAAGCACAGACACUUCCAAAAUAAAUGCUGCUAAGCUGAUAGAAACCAGUUUCCCUGAAGAUUGUUCUGUGAAGCUGAAACACUGGCUUUCUUUAAGUGCAUUUGCUGGUACAACUCAAUUGCACACAUGUUUGCAGAUGGUACAAAGAAGAGUGGCAGAAAGAAAGCUCAAGGUAAUGGAGUGGAGGAAAUGGUCUGCAGUAUAGUCUUAAAGGGUGCUGAGCUCUUUCUGUGCUCAGAGAUGCUGAUUGUGCAGAAUCUUCAUGUGCAUCAAAGGUGAAACUUAUACUUAGGCAAGUGCUGGAAGGAUCACUGCUCUGUGACCUGCGUCUCUCAGAUAUUUUUUUCAGUCUUGUACCUGUUAGCAAGUGGUUCCUGUUCUUUAGACUGCUGUUACCUCCUCCAACAGAUAACGACGGUAUGGAAUACUGUCGUGUAUGUGAUGACUGUUCACUGUGGCUAGUUUCUUCUGGUGAUGUCAAAAGUUAUUUUAUGCCUUUUUGCUUCCCUCACUGAUUUUAGGGUUCAAACUUCUAAUUGUUAACUGAGUGUCUUUUUCAUGCUUUGCAAAAUCAGGGAUUUCAUUGAAGGAGAGUGUUCCAAGCUGCUCUUGAGAAACCUCAUGUUUGCAUCAGGUGACAGAGAAUAUUAGUAAAUCGACUUCUUGAAAAGGAACCUUCAGGAUACCAUGCUGUCACUGUGUUAGAGUGGUAAGGCCACAGGCGGAACCCAGCUGACACUGCUGCAGUGAGUGCCUGAGCCAGCACAGCAGAACAGCACAGGCAGCUGUUACAGCAGUGCAAGGUCCCAGAUUAGCCAAGGCAUAAAUGCUUUGCUCUAUUACAGUCUCACUGCAGCUUCCAGGGAGACAGCAUGGGCCUCAUGCGGUUCA
Molecule: long non-coding RNA, 7807 nt
Organism: Falco peregrinus (peregrine falcon)
Lineage: Eukaryota; Metazoa; Chordata; Aves; Falconiformes; Falconidae
Exons: 6
Source: RefSeq, a predicted model, not a curated record